AACAAUACAAAGGAGGGAUAAAAUGUCCUCACAGAAGAAAACCACCCCAAUUUAAUACAUGGGGGUUCGCAAAAAAUAUAAAUGUUUCACCUAAACAAAGCCUUAUAUGGAUCCAUCCCUAUACAAAUUACUGCUACUACUGAUAUAGCCUUAGGCAGCAGAUGGGGCGGUCUUGUAGUGAACAACACCAGUCUCCGAGAGUGCAGCCAAGAGUGGUUGUACACCACUUUCAGUUCUACCAGCAGCAGCAGCCAGAGUGUCCUUGUAGUCCAAGGACUCGUCAUUGUAAAUGUCCCACCAUUUCUUGAUCAUCAUCUUGAUGUCUUCUCUGUCCAUGUUGUUUUCUUUCCCAGUAUACCUCCAUGGCUUGGAGCCAGCUGCACAGUAGUGAACAACCUUGAGCUUGUCAAGUUCAAUAUUCUCAGGAUGGCGCCAGAGCAAGGCCAAAACGAGGUUGUAAAUUGGAGGAAGUGGCCUGAAAAUGUCCUUGAAGAACAUGUUCAGGAAAUCCUGCUCAGCAAAGAGAGUAGGAGUGGUAACUUUG
Molecule: unclassified non-coding RNA, 544 nt
Filed under: Hevea brasiliensis (rubber tree)
Lineage: Eukaryota; Viridiplantae; Streptophyta; Magnoliopsida; Malpighiales; Euphorbiaceae
Source: RNAcentral